AUUGAACGCUGGCGGCGGGCCUAACACAUGCAAGUCGAGCGGAUGAAGGGAGCUUGCUCCUGGAUUCAGCGGCGGACGGGUGAGUAAUGCCUAGGAAUCUGCCUGGUAGUGGGGGAUAACGUCCGGAAACGGGCGCUAAUACCGCAUACGUCCUGAGGGAGAAAGUGGGGGAUCUUCGGACCUCACGCUAUCAGAUGAGCCUAGGUCGGAUUAGCUAGUUGGUGGGGUAAAGGCCUACCGAGGCGACGAUCCGUAACUGGUCUGAGAGGAUGAUCAGUCACACUGGAACUGAGACACGGUCCAGACUCCUACGGGAGGCAGCAGUGGGGAAUAUUGGACAAUGGGCGAAAGCCUGAUCCAGCCAUGCCGCGUGUGUGAAGAAGGUCUUCGGAUUGUAAAGCACUUUAAGUUGGGAGGAAGGGCAGUAAGUUAAUACCUUGCUGUUUUGACGUUACCAACAGAAUAAGCACCGGCUAACUUCGUG
This 484-nucleotide ribosomal RNA is filed under the name uncultured bacterium. Its description in RNAcentral is "partial 16S ribosomal RNA". It matches the Rfam family "Bacterial small subunit ribosomal RNA", at positions 30 to 507 of the family's 1533-position model. The record is from RNAcentral.